CAUUCUCGGUGGUAGUCGGUAACUGUUUUAUUUUAGUAUCAUUGAGAUACUAUUAUAGUUUUGAAUUAGUUUUUAUUUUUGGUCCUACCUAUUGUCUUUAUUGGGUUAGUUCACCCAGAAAUGAACAUUCUGUCUUUUAUUACUCACCCUCAUGUCGUUCCACAGCCAUAAGACCUUCGUUCAUCUUCAGAACACAAAUUAAGAUAUUUUUGAUGAAAUCUGAGAGCUUUCUGUCCCUCAGUAGCCGCUUUUCCACUGUCGAGCCAGGGCUUUCAGCGGGCCAGGCUAGGCUAAUAGCCCCGGACUUGUAGCACCGAGCCCAAAAUCACGCUGCAUUUCCACCGUCGGGCCAGAAGCUCCGCAGCGCUUCACUAAAACCCGCCCGUAACACGCCUCUCUGGAACAACGUCACACAAACCCGUCAUUUCACAAACAAAUGGAAGUUUUAUCAGAAAAAUAAUCAGAAAGAAAUCACUGGAAACUAGCGAGAUUGUGAAGUGAAUAUGAUAAAAGCAGGCGUUUGUUGGCAUUUUGUUGUUUACUUAAAGAUUUAAAAACCCAAGCAUCGAUGUUUUACGAAACAAAUUGAUCAUAAUGAAUUCAUUUGUGUCAAGAUUAAACAUUAGUCACAGAAAUAAAGUGGUAUUUACUGUUAUUUCACAAAAGAAAGAGGACACAUGCACUUAUUCAGUCGCGUCUGUUUCUGUUUAUAGUCAUGGGACAGUAUGUUUACAUCACAUUUACAAAGAAUGAUAUGAUAUGAUGAUUUCUACAAGUUUUCCACCAAAAACAUGACCUGAGGAGCUUUAGCACUCUCUCCAGUGACAGUCCCAACAGUUAGGCCUAUAUUUUCAGUCUGAGAAACAGAGGAAUCCCGAAAAACUGGAGUUGCUUUAUUUUAUGAAAUAUGCAGAGCUAAAUAUGGAUAUCAGACAGUCCGUUAAGAGACGAGACGUGCUGACAGAUAAAAUAAAUACAUGAUUGUGAUAGCCUACGUAUGUGAUUUGUCUGAUUUCUUCAAGCCGUCGUAUUUACCAUGCUUACUAUAGUAAUAGCGCGCAUAGUCUUGGUGAUCAGAAUCCACAUCAGAUCACAAACAGAAGUUAUUUCAAACAUUGUUAUUGCAACUUCCACUUUCAAGCCUCAGAAAGGUAGUAAAGACAUCAUUAAAGUAAUCAUGUGACUCCAGCGGUUUAACCUCAAUUUCAUGAGUGAUUUAUUUGCACAAAAAAAACGUAAUUUACUACUUUAUUUACAAAAGAUUAAUCUCCAGUGCGUGUUCAUGUAACAACCUCUGCUCUCGCGUCAACACAAACACUCUCGUGAACGCGCAUCAGAGAUUAAUAUUUUAUAAAGUGAUAAAUUGUUUUUUUUUGUGAAAACGUAGCACUCGUGUUUACGUUUUUAACUUUUUAAUGUAUUGGUUACACUUUGGUCACAAUUUUAAGGUGUCUGUGUUACAGUAUAAUUAUAAAUAAAUUUAAGUACUGAGUAAUAUUCAUUGACAGUAUGUACAUACUAUAGGGUUAGGGUAAUAAGGGUUGGUUUAGGGUUAGUUCGUUGUAAUUAUGCAUAAUUUUACUGUUAUUACUACAGUAAGUACAUGUAAUGUGUAACAAGGACACUAAAAAUAAAGUGUUACCUUUUAUUUCAUUUAAAGUUUUAUUUAAAGUAACAAGUUUUUUUUUUUUUUUUUGGUUAUAGUUAACUAUAAUAACUCUGGUCAGGUUUGCAACCCCUCUGUAAUGCAACAAAAUAAAUAAUAAUAACAAUAAAACAAUUUAAGUCAUUUUUUUUUUAAUAUUCAUGCACAGUCAGAGAGGUUCAAAUCACCGCAGAUAGACAACAUACAGUUUUACAAUUUGAUCCUAAAAAAUUGAAUAUUGUUUUCAUUUCCUAUUCUUUAAAUAUUAGCAUUCCCUCCACAAACCCAGUGGAACAGCCAGCCGUACAUCCAGAAUCACCAGCUGAACCCCUGCGUUCUUCUGCCGCAGCAUCCUCCAGAAUGAACAUGUAUACAGAUACAGGCGUCCUGCAGUCUUUAAAUGAUCAUCAAAAGAGUGAUGAGGCCUGUUACACCAAGAACAAUAACUAUAUCAGUGUUCACACCAGCACACAAUAUCCUUCUGUUCAUUAUCAGCGCUGCAGUUUUGUGUCUGUCUCUUUAAAUGCUGGAGCUCUUUAAAGCAGGAUGGAUUCUGAUUGGCUGUCAAAGUUUUUUCGUUCAUCAGCUGGAAAAAAAAUCCUCCUGAAAGUGAUUCCAGUGAUAUCGUGCCGUUAUGGUUAUAGCUUGUGUGAACACUGCUGUUCUAUUAUAUUGAGAAUGAUUUUUAGAGCUAUAUUGUUAUCGCUCUUGGUGUGAACGGCCCUUAAUAGUCUGCAAUGUUUGUGGAAGCAUUAACAUGUCAUGUGAUCUGUGUUUGUCCCAGGACUGUUUCUGUUCAUCGAAAGCUCUUUUGAGGUCUGAACAGACAGGGCAAAGCAGUCUGGGAAGCCCAUUAUUUUAGGCCUGAUAUGAGAGCUUAUUUGUAAAUUCAUUUGAUGUUCAUUUAUUUAUUAGGUUUUUUUUUAUAUAUUUGUAUAUAAUUUAGUUUUUUUGCAUAGGACAUUGUGCCAAAUGUGGAAGACACACAGUGAUGAAUGUGAGUGACAGCAGGGCGGAGGACGUUCAGUUAAAUCUGGAUAUGACUGUGGAGAGUUUCUGUGCGGGACAUGAAGAAUCACUGGAGCGAAUCCUCCAGACCGCUGAAGAAGAAGAAGCUGUAGAGUGACGUCCAACGCAAGAUGUUCACCAUCAUGACAUGAGACUUCACUGACUCUAGAGCAGCGACUGUGGCUGAAACCAGGAUGUAAAGGACCCAACGGCCUGAUGGUCCUCAGAUGAUGUAGUAGUUGCUGUGAAAGGCUUCAUCUAUGUUCCUGUCCUCGCUGCACACUGCUGCGUUCGGAGGAGGGCGUCCUCAAUCCCGCCUGCUACAGGAGCGUCUGCAUGAUCACCUGUGUGUGUGUGUGUGUGUGUGUGUGUGUGUGUGUGUGUGUGUGUGUGUGCGUGUGUGUACUCCUGAAUCAUAAGUACAUCCGCUGUCCCUGUCAAUUUUUACAGAAUGAUGUUUCUGAACAUAAGUAUAUCUGCAUCCUGACUCAAGCCACUGCUGUCAGAUGUGCACUUCUGAGGGACAAAACAUGUAAUAUGAUUAAUAUUGCAGCCGGCACUGCAAUCUUCUGGAGAUGCACAAAAUCAAAGUCAGGAAACACAAACCUGUUAGAACAUGCAGAAGUGGAGAAAUUAAUUUUUCUAUUAAGAUAUUUAUUUAAAGGAAGAACGGCUGGAAAAGUGUAAAGAAUUGAAAACAUGAAGUGUUUGUCAUGUUCUGACAAUAAAGAGUCAUUUAAAACUUUCACUGAGGAGCAAAAAUCUGCCUUUAAAUCUGAAAGAAAUAAAGAUUUGACAUUUAUAUAUUGACUGUUAUCGACUGAUAUGAACAUUUUUUUAGGCCACUUACAUUUGUUCUUUUUGCACUUUGUCUGAUCGUAUGAAGUCAUGAUGUUUUUCCUUUUUGUUAAUUUUGAUUUGUAUUAUUUAUUUCUGAAUUAAAUGCAUUUGAACACUUCUUGUAACAUGCAUUUUAACAAUACACACAGUGUAUUUUCAUUUCAUUUUAUUUGUGAUUCAGUUGAAUUAUUGAUUCCUUGAAUGAUUUGAAAUGAAAUGCUUGUUUUUGUUUGUUCUUUCUGUUAAACUGAAGCCCUGAAAUGGCAGAAUAACUAUGGGAAUUUGGAUCAUAAACUGAAUCCAGUCCUGAAGUGUGUGACGAUCCUGUGUUAAAUCAGUUCCCAGCAUCAGCAUGAGUUUAACAAACACUGGCAAGAACUGAAAGUCAUGGAGCUCAGCGAGGAAGACGUUAUUCCAGCAGAAUGCAGUCAGUUUGUUUGCUUCAGGAUUAGUCCAGAUUAUGAUAUAGUUGUAGGAAUCCUACAGGACUGAGUUUGAACAUUAAGGCACAAAAACAAACAUCCGUCACUGAACUGAACUCACGUGGACAGAUUCAAGGAGUCAAAUCAUCUUUUUAACAAUGCUGUGAUUUUGAAAAGCAUCAUGUGACACAACUGUCAGUGGCAGCACGAUUUCAGCAAUAAAAGAAGAAUAAUAAAAAUAUUAUUAUUCCCCCAUAUUAUAGAUAAAUAAUGAGCUAGAGGGGGAGGGGGGUAAUAAUAAAGUGCCCUUUCGUGGUGCCCCUGUCCCAGCUGACGUCUGUGAGCCGGUCAGAGGUCACCCUCCUCCCCCCCGCGGCUUCAAGCAGCUUUCAGUUGGUCAGUGCCGCGAAUUCCUGACCAACUUGAAAGCAGGGGAAAGCCGCUUGAAGCCGCUUUCUUUGGUCAGCUUUAGUGGCCGUUCACAUGACACGUCUUUUGUGCGCUUGGACGCAUCGUGAACGGCCACGUGGUAUUCUUUUUUGUUGUUUCUUCUGCUUGUUUUGAGGACCUUUUUCUUCACACUGGUGCUGUAUCAUUUUUGGGUGUCGUCACCUUCAAGCAGCUCUUGAAGGGCGACGCAGCAGGAGGACGUGUCCGCAGUCUUAGCAGUCUUACGACCCGUAUUUUGAGCCAAGUUUUUGCCUUUUGUUUAUAAUCAGGUUCAGGCUUUAUCAGCUCUUCAGCCCUAAACUGCAUCACUUCUUCCCUGUCCUUUCGCCACCUCUCCUUCAGGUUGAGCUUCUCUUUCCAGGUCAUCUUCUCUUUAGGCUCAUAACGCAGGUGAGUGUACCUCAUGUCUGGCCAGUGAACCCUCUUAACCUGAGGCUCCUCAGCAUGAUCUUCAGAGACUUCUGGAGGAGUGGGAGGGUGGCAAAGCUUCUGAAGGGUCUCUUUAGUCUCCUUCAGGCAGCUCUUUGUUGUCAGAACCGGGUCUGUCCUGAACGUGGGUCCAGCAGGCUCUGCUGGACUGCGGUUUGUAUUUCUUAUGUACUCAUACCAGGCGUUGUAAUACACAGGUGUUCUUGGCUUCUCUGUGUAUCGGUUUAGUGUCUUUUUCUCUGGUUGUUUAAGGCAGCUUUUCAGGGGCCCGAACAUGUAUUUAUGCUUUUUGGGAUUCUUUUCAGAUUGGUCAGCCCAGGUUACUGUCUUUGGCCCCGAUGUCUUGGCCAUUGGAGUUUCUAACCAUUCCCACCACCUCUGCUCCCCCCAUGGCAGGGGGAAGUAGUCGGGCUUUGGAACGUCAGUAAAGGGGAAAUAGCGGGGUCUCGGGUUUAACAAAUCGAAAUCCAUUUCACUUGCUAUACUCACCAAUCAGAGGAUAAUCAGAGAUGAGAUAAUCAGAUCACAAUGUUCGUCUUCUUUAGGCGUGUUACAGCAGUUGUUAAACCAGUAAAGAUGUGUGAACCUCGAGUCAGUCUGCGCUAUUUAUCCUGUUCUGGGCGUGGUCGCGUUCUAAGGCGUGACGUCACAAAGCCACGAGAGGCCGCCGCGACUGUGACGUCACAACGGCGCACCUGAUUAACCGCGUUUUGAACAAAAACUGGCCGAAUGAAUGAACACAGCACGACAAUAGCGACAAAUGCAAGUAAAACAGUGCAGAAUGAAAAGAUUGGGCCAAUAUUAUUAAAGGUGCUAUACAAACUAUAAUUAUUUGAGUUAUUAAUGUGUUUGCACAUUGUAUAUGUUGAUAAUUGUCCUCCUAACUUAAAAAGAUAAGCAAACUGUUUGUGUUUAUUGUUUAUUUGCGGACAUUCCUUGCUUAUAUUAAGCUUCUUUCACUGCUAUAAUAUAUAUUACACAUUUCAUUGCAUUUUAACGGAAUUUAAUGCGUUCAGUGAACUUGUCGUUUGACGCGCAAUAGCCGGUCUCCAUUUUGACACGAGCAGUUUCGCGCCGCGCUGACUGGAUUGAGAAGAAGGACUGAAAAUGGCGGUAAGACGUGUUCGUAAACAUGUUUAUUUCUUUCCUAGAUCGCUGAAACCGAAAUAUCUUGUGUUAUUCACAAACUCUGUCGCUUAAUUAUUACCAUAGUAUUACUACAGCUGUGUAGUUGACAAAUAUGCAGUAAAAAAGCAGUAUUUGUUUUUGUAAAACACCAUUUUUGAAGAAAAAAUACUUAUUUAUGUAGUGUGAAGUCUGAUGUUUGAGAAAAUAUAAGGGGUCAUUAACUUUGUCAGUUCUUUCACUUUUUUUUCAUGGUGUGACAACAAAAAUUAAUAAAAAAAAACAAAAAAAACACGUACCCCCGGUUUCACAGACAAGACUUAAGCUAACGUUAGUCCUAGACUAAAAUGCAUGUUUGAGCUGUUUUAACUGAAAUCAAUUUGUAGCCUACUGACAUAUCUUAAAAUAUGUCAGAGCCAUUGUUUUGUCUCAAGAUGCACACCAGUACUGUUUUUUUUUUCUUCUAAUGAGCCUUUAUAAAAGCCACUUAAAUGCCCUAAUUGAACUAAGGCCUAAUCCUGGUUUAGUCUAAGCUCUGUCUGUGAAACCAGGCCUUAAUAAUAUACAAACAGCAUGAGAGAGAUUUACCUUCAUUGAGAUUUAUCUUCAUUGUUUUCAGUAUGCUCGACUACAAAAGAGAUGUCAAAGCGCUUAUUGCCCUCACAUGACCGUUUAGAUGAAUUUAUUAAAGAAUACAUUACAUUACCUUCUCUAUCGUUUCUUUAACUCUGAAAUUAUUCAAACAAAGCCUUUUUCUCCUUACUUUUCCCUGUUAAAAUUAGGUAGUAUUGGCAACAACUAGAAAACGACGAAUAAUUUAAAGGUAAUGUCAUCUCUAAACUGGACUAAUUUGUCCAGUCACACUACAAGUGUGUUGUUUUAGUGAAGGUAGUUUUAGGCUUCAUGUCGGAAAAACAAUAGCCUGUGUCUUAUAUUUUUAUAUCGCUGACCCUGUUUUGUCUUAAAGUAAAUAGAGCAAAUGGAGUCGAUUCCGGAAGUCCUAUGCUGGGAUUAGACUCUGAAAAACCUGGAAUCGAAAAUCCUUCUGUUGCCAGAUUGGGUCGACAAUUUCCAGUCCAAAAGUAGGCCUGUCUCAACUACCCUUCAUGCGCAGAUACUCAGUCCAGCUAAGAUGAACACAGUGUCCACUGCCAGGUAUGUCAGGUUAAAUUGGUUCGUCAUUUGCUUUGUGAGCAGCAGAGGUUACACCAAGUGUGCCGCACAAGUCCUAAAAAAAAGUGAAGCGUUUCGAUUGCCCCCAGGUUGCUGGAUGCAGUGUAGGUCAUAACGUUCGAUUCAAAACCAAGGAGAAACAAGGUUUGUUUAUGAUCGUAAAGUAGACUUAUGUGUGUUCUAUUCUAUACAUAUUGUUUUAAUUUACUGUUGUGUAUGCUUUAUUAAAGGGUGGAGAUGUGACCCAGGAGGAAAAAGGAGAAGAGCUGCUUCAGCAGGAGGAAGAGGAGGAUCAUGGGUUCACAGAAGACAGAACACCAGCAAUAGCAGCACAUACAGCUCUUGAGGUGCUCUUCAAAGACGAAGACCAGGCUCUGCUGAAAACAGUGAAGAUAAACGUCACUGAAAAGACCAAAAAAGAGGUACAGGUGUACCAGAGCUUCCCGGCAGUCCUAAGUUCAGCGGAUCCUAUCCGGUGGUGGAGGCAGAAGAGGGACCAAUGCUGGCCAGCAUCUCUGUGUCCAGGCCUCUUCUACGACCUCAGAGCGGGAAAAAACCCUGUUGGGCACUGAAUUUCAGUGUGCUCCAUCCUGCUGUUCAGAGCUUCAUGGAUUGAAUGGAAAACGGUCAACACGGCGGAGGGGGCAGGAUUCAGACUGAUGAUGAAUGACAAAAGAACCUUCAUACACUUCAUCCACUACACGAGAUUGAUUAUAAAUCCUUGUGUGAUUGGAGCGCAGGAAGAACAGCUGGGCCUCAAGUCUGUAAAUAAAUCAUUUGAAAGCUAAAGAAUGCAUGAAUUAAUCAGGAACCAAAAUUAAAUAAAAUUAAAAUGCAGA
Long non-coding RNA from Ctenopharyngodon idella (grass carp), 7931 nucleotides. RefSeq lists it as uncharacterized. NCBI's taxonomy places the organism in Eukaryota, Metazoa, Chordata, Actinopteri, Cypriniformes, Xenocyprididae. The transcript has 6 exons. The record is from RefSeq and is a predicted model, not a curated record.